AUGGACUUGAACAGCUCGGAGAAGUUGCCUUUGCCAAACCCUCCGAAGUCACCCUUCUGGUACUCUUCCCCUCUCUCGUCCUUCUCCAUGCACCCGAUCCUUUGGAUCAUCUCCAGGAACAACGUUGGCCUGAACAUAAUAGUUGAUGCAGUUAGAUUUGGAAUCACAGGGAGUAGAGCAAAGAAGCGCUCGAAUUUAUUAUCCAGGUCUUGGAGAACAUUGGAAGCCUGCUGCUUCCAUUUGUGUACUGCACCAGUAGGUCUCCUGAUGCUGCGUCGUGGGUCAGGCAAGAUCAGCUACUGGAUGCUACGUUGA
Molecule: ribosomal RNA, 315 nt
Filed under: Triticum aestivum (bread wheat)
Lineage: Eukaryota; Viridiplantae; Streptophyta; Magnoliopsida; Poales; Poaceae
Description: partial small subunit ribosomal RNA
Source: RNAcentral